GGAAGACUCAAACUAAUUGCUACCAUAUUCUUUCUAGAGUUACUAAUUUCUAUGAAUUAAUGCCAUGUGUUUAAUUAUGUAUAUUUCUGUCCUUCAGCUAAGAUGCCCGCAGGCAUUGACGCUCCAGACACUGACAGUCCAGCAACUAUGGCCGAGCACUACAGAACCCUACGAUCUUUGUGUAAGAAGAAAACUCAAACUGUGAGUCCGUCUCUCAGCUCCUGGAUUUGGAAUUUGAUUCUUUUUGCGAGGAGGACAGACACAAGAAAAUUCCAGAGGACAUUGGACAUGUGAUGGAGGAGCUUCAGCGCGAUCUGGACAGAAAUAACAUCCAUUACAUUGAUGAGCUGAAGGGAAGAUGGGACGACUUCUGGAAAAAGCUGCUGAAACCCCCAGUAGGAAUGGACAAAGUUGAGCAGGCUCUCAGUAUCCUACGCGUGCUGCCUUCAUUGUUCCCCUCUUCAUCUGCUCCUCCUCCGAAGAAGUUAGGACAUCGGAUUGUUGGCCGCCUCCCGCUGUCAGCGGCGAACACCCGGAUUUCUCCAUCGUCCCAGCGCUGCAACAAAAGGUUUUUAACUUUUCUCCCGGGGCAGCCAUCGAGCCGUCCCGGUCCGGUUUUUGCCUCGAGCCGAUACCUCUGCCGUUGGUAGCUGGCUGUCGGCUGCCUCCCGCCCGUCCUCCGUGCCUCGCCCACUGCCACAAUACGGACCGUCUUCUCCCCUGUGCCGGACGAGUCUUCCCGUCUCCGUGUUUGGCUAACGGCUAGCUCCGGGCUAACGGCUAGCUCCGGGCUAACGGCUAGCUCCGGGCUAACACCUUCGGCGACCGGCAUGAAGCCCAAGUACUCUGUCCCACGGCUGCUAACUCUCGACAACCGCUCCAUUCCAACGUGCAUUGCAGCCAUCAAAGAACUUUGACGGCCGCUGGUCAAAAGUUUUUUUUUUUUUUUUGUUAUUUUUAUAUGAUACGUAACGCUACCGUACCGGCCUGUAGACCGGCCGCUUAGCUGCCGCGGAACGCAGCUGUGUGUCUGUGUGUGUUUCAGACCGGGCCAAACCAAUACUUCCAAUCUUGAGGGGGGGGGAUACGAGCGGCCCCUCCCAACUUGGACUGAUCCUCGUAUUUCCUGACAUCCGAUUGGCUCAAAGGAGUUUACUUGGUUAGGUUUGGGUUUGUGAGAAUGCAACAGAGACAGGCGGUAAAAAUGGCGAAAAGAAGGAAAGAAGAGAAAGAAGAUGGAGAAGACAUUGUAGGAUAUUAGAAACAAAUAUACGACCCGGUUCAUAAAAUUAAUAAAAAUGCAUAUAGUGUACACCAGAAUACAGCCAUGAUUCUGAAACUGUGUAAUCAAUAAAGUAAUGACAAUAGUGUAAAACCACUGUAAUUCUGCAACUGUACUAGAAUAAUACCAAUGCAGUUAUGAUUGUAUUUAAUGUAAUGUAAUCAACUGGAAUGCAUACAUGUAAUACUUGAACAACAACUGAUAUUGACAUUCGAAAUCCGAGUUACAAUGAACUCACCAGAAGACCACUCCCAGAGGUGUGGACACUAACUUUCACACCUUUGAGCAUUGGUAUAAAUACCUGUAGGAAUAUUGUUCUCGGUUCGAUGGUGGAGACACCAGACAGUCACUAUGGGGGGUCAAAGGACUGACCUGGGCCUGUUGGCUGCUGAGACCAGCGGCUCCUCAGCAGAGAUGUUCUUUUCACCACAACACCAUCUCUUUUAUUAAACACAUUUGAUUUAAUCUUUUGAUCUGCGAUGACCUCUGUCCGUCCGGCGUUUCUUCAUUUUUGAACACAACAACAUGGAACUGACUAACACCAGCUGCACCUCCUGUAAAGACUGUGCAAUUUGUGUUUAUCAUAUCCUCUCCAAAUACAACCCCCUCACUGAUGCCUAUCACGUCAUUGGACUGGUUCUUGCUUACGCUCUCUUUCAGUCAAGUGGCCUGUGAGAGGACCUUUUCUACUCCCUAGUUUGUCAAGAACAGACUGAGGAGUGGUCUGAAAUAAAUACA
Long non-coding RNA from Gasterosteus aculeatus aculeatus (three-spined stickleback), 2020 nucleotides. The record is from Ensembl. Lineage: Eukaryota; Metazoa; Chordata; Actinopteri; Perciformes; Gasterosteidae.